Molecule: ribosomal RNA, 485 nt
Filed under: uncultured bacterium
Lineage: Bacteria
Description: partial 16S ribosomal RNA
Rfam family: Bacterial small subunit ribosomal RNA
Source: RNAcentral
AUUGAACGCUGGCGGCAUGCCUUACACAUGCAAGUCGAACGGCAGCGGGCCCUUCGGGGUGCCGGCGAGUGGCGAACGGGUGAGUAAUGCAUCGGAACGUACCCGGGAGAGGGGGAUAACCGGCCGAAAGGCUGGCUAAUACCGCAUGAACUCGGAAGAGCAAAGCGGGGGACCUUCGGGCCUCGCGCUCUCGGAGCGGCCGAUGUCCGAUUAGGCUAGUUGGUGGGUUAAAGGCCCACCAAGGCGACGAUCGGUAGCGGGUCUGAGAGGACGAUCCGCCACACUGGGACUGAGACACGGCCCAGACUCCUACGGGAGGCAGCAGUGGGGAAUCUUGGACAAUGGGCGCAAGCCUGAUCCAGCAAUGCCGCGUGGGUGAAGAAGGCCUUCGGGUUGUAAAGCCCUUUCGGCGGGGAAGAAAUCGGUCAGGCGAAUAGUCUGGCCGGAUGACGGUACCCGCAGAAGAAGCACCGGCUAACUACGUG